This 639-nucleotide ribosomal RNA is filed under the name uncultured bacterium. Its description in RNAcentral is "bacterial SSU rRNA". It matches the Rfam family "Bacterial small subunit ribosomal RNA", at positions 202 to 842 of the family's 1533-position model. The record is from RNAcentral.
AAAAACUGAGGUGGUAUACGAUGGUUCCGCGUCUGAUUAGCUAGUUGGUGGGGUAAAAGCCUACCAAGGCAACGAUCAGUAGCCGGCCUGAGAGAGUGAACGGCCACAUUGGGACUGAGACACGGCCCAAACUCCUACGGGAGGCAGCAGUGGGGAAUAUUGCACAAUGGGGGAAACCCUGAUGCAGCGACGCCGCGUGAGUGAAGAAGUAUUUCGGUAUGUAAAGCUCUAUCAGCAGGGAAGAAAUACUGACCAUAGGGUCAGCAGACGGUACUUGACUAAGAAGCCCCGGCUAACUACGUGCCAGCAGCCGCGGUAAUACGUAGGGGGCAAGCGUUAUCCGGAUUUACUGGGUGUAAAGGGAGCGUAGACGGCAGCGCAAGUCUGAAGUGAAAUGCCAGGGCUUAACCCUGGAACUGCUUUGGAAACUGUGCAGCUAGAGUGCAGGAGAGGUAAGUGGAAUUUCUAGUGUAGCGGUGAAAUGCGUAGAUAUUAGGAGGAACACCAGUGGCGAAGGCGGCUUACUGGACUGUAACUGACGUUGAGGCUCGAAAGCGUGGGGAGCAAACAGGAUUAGAUACCCUGGUAGUCCACGCUGUAAACGAUGAUUACUAGGUGUUGGGGGACCAAGGUUCUUCG